CGCAUGGCACGAAGUCUGACGGAGCACGCCGCGUGAGUGAUGAAGGUUUUCGGAUCGUAAAGCUCUGUUGUUAGGGAAGAACAAGUACCGUUCGAAUAGGGCGGUACCUUGACGGUACCUAACCAGAAAGCCACGGCUAACUACGUGCCAGCAGCCGCGGUAAUACGUAGGUGGCAAGCGUUGUCCGGAAUUAUUGGGCGUAAAGGGCUCGCAGGCGGUUCCUUAAGUCUGAUGUGAAAGCCCCCGGCUCAACCGGGGAGGGUCAUUGGAAACUGGGGAACUUGAGUGCAGAAAAGGAGAGUGGAAUUCCACGUGUAGCGGUGAAAUGCGUAAAGAUGUGGAGGAACACCAGUGGCGAAGGCGACUCUCUGGUCUGUAACUGACGCUGAGGAGCGAAAGCGUGGGGAGCGAACAGGAUUAAAUACCCUGGUAGUCCACGCCGUAAACGAUGAGUGCUAAGUGUUAGGGGGUUUCCGCCCCUUAGUGCUGCAGCUAACGCAUUAAGCACUCCGCCUGGGGAGUACGGUCGCAAGACUGAAACUCAAAUGAAUUGACGGA
This 558-nucleotide ribosomal RNA is filed under the name Bacillus halotolerans. Its description in RNAcentral is "bacterial SSU rRNA". It matches the Rfam family "Bacterial small subunit ribosomal RNA", at positions 367 to 917 of the family's 1533-position model. Lineage: Bacteria; Bacillati; Bacillota; Bacilli; Caryophanales; Bacillaceae. The record is from RNAcentral.